Molecule: non-coding RNA, 231 nt
Organism: Vicia faba (fava bean)
Lineage: Eukaryota; Viridiplantae; Streptophyta; Magnoliopsida; Fabales; Fabaceae
Source: the annotation of a GenBank genome assembly
AUGGGUUCGUCCAGUGAAGCUCGUAAACUAAAUAAGAAGAUGUAUGUGGUAUCAACUUAUUCAUCCGGCUCAAAGGAUUUGUUUUCCGAAGAAUUUAAUAGAAGUCCCGAAACUGGCAAAGGUAAACAACCUGCAAAUAUAGAUGAAAAUCAUGUUGAGGAAGGCAACGUUGUUAGUGAUGAAGUUAUUUUGGACGAUACAGCAGUUAUCGGUGGAGAAAAUGGAAGGUAA